GCUGAGUGGCGAACGGGUGAGUAACACGUGAGUAACCUGCCCUUGACUUUGGGAUAACUUCAGGAAACUGGGGCUAAUACCGGAUAGGAGCUCCUGCUGCAUGGUGGGGGUUGGAAAGUUUCGGCGGUUGGGGAUGGACUCGCGGCUUAUCAGCUUGUUGGUGGGGUAGUGGCUUACCAAGGCUUUGACGGGUAGCCGGCCUGAGAGGGUGACCGGCCACAUUGGGACUGAGAUACGGCCCAG
Molecule: ribosomal RNA, 243 nt
Filed under: uncultured Actinomycetales bacterium
Lineage: Bacteria; Bacillati; Actinomycetota; Actinomycetes; Actinomycetales
Description: partial 16S ribosomal RNA
Rfam family: Bacterial small subunit ribosomal RNA
Source: RNAcentral